Molecule: long non-coding RNA, 2309 nt
Filed under: Canis lupus familiaris (dog)
Lineage: Eukaryota; Metazoa; Chordata; Mammalia; Carnivora; Canidae
Description: lncRNA (ENSCAFG00845003618.1)
Source: RNAcentral
GAGCACAGGCAGAGAGAUUUAGCAUCAUUCUUCAGGUCCCUAGGAUUUUCAGGAUGGCACGUGAGCACAGGCUGAACUUCAGGUUAGCAGCUGCAUUAGCCCCUAAUGAUAGAGUCAACACAUCCUUUGGAGCUUUGAAGCCAGGCCCUGACUUCUCCUCUCUAGCUAUGAGAGUCCUAAAUGGCAUCUUCUGAUAGAAGGCUGUUUCAUCCACAUUGAAAAUCCAUUGUUUAGUGGAGCCACCUUCGUGAAUGAUCUCCUCUAGAUCUUCUGGAGAAUCUUUCCUUAAGCCUCAUGAACCCACCUCUGCCAGCUUCAGACUUGUCUUCUGCAGUUUCGUCCCCUCCCUCAGGCUGCACAGAAUUGAGGAGAGUGAGGGCCUUGUUCUGGAUUAGGCUUUGGCUUCAGGGAUGUCCUGACUGUUGGAUCUUCUGUCUAGACCACCAAGACUUUCUCCUUAUCAGCAAUAAGGCUGUUUCACUUUAUCAUUCUUGUGUUCAGUGGAGUAGCACCUAUAACGUCCUUCCAGAACUCUUCCUUUGUAUUCACAACUUGUCUGUUUGGGGCAAGAGGCCUAGCCUUUGGCUUAUCUAGACUUUCAACACACCUUCCUUUCACUAGGCUUAAUCAUUUCCAGCUUUUGAUUUAAUGUGAUAGUUGUGUGACUCUUCCUUUCACUUGGACACUUAGAGGCCAUUGCUGGGUUUUUAAUUGGCUUAAUUUCAAUAUUGUUGUGUCUUGGGGAUCAGGGAAGUCUGAGGAGCGGGGGCGGGGGGUAGACGGAGCAGGCAGAACACACACCAAACAAUUACAUAACAUCAAAGAUCGCUGAUCACAGAUCGCCCUAGUAAAUAUAAUAACGAAAAUCUUUGAAAUAUUGGAAGAAUUAUCAAAUGUGACCCAGAGACUGAAAGUGAGCAAAUGCUAUUGGAACAACGGUGCCAAUAAACUUGCUAGACAUGGGGUGCCAUGUGAACACAGGGUAUCGGAAAAAUACCAUAAUGUGAGGUAUGUCUAUGCCUACCUAUCUCCCUACCUGUGAAAGAAAGAGGUGCCUGGGCAUCCCUCUGGCUCACCCAUCGCACCAUCAAUGAAGCACCAGGUAACCGGUGUCUGAGUGCGAAGUUGGGAAGAAGGAGCCACGGGGUGGACUGCUGUGCUGUGGGAGCCCAUGCCUUCUCUGUGCCUUGUUUAACUAUGUCUGAUGAUGAAGUUCUGUCCCCCACAGGGAGCACUUACAGCACCACAGGGCAGCUGUCUGAAACUGCUGCCUGGUUCUGCUGGCAGAAGCGGGAUUCUUAGGCCCCAUGCUGCACAUCCCAUUCAUCUUCCUGAGACCAGAGAUCUCCUGGUCUUCAACUAUUGUUUCUCUUCCAAACUUAGUAAUUAACUUUCCAGGAUUAGGAGAGGAGACUGUCACUUAGCUUUAAUUAAUUGUUGAAAGAACAGAGAGGGGUCUAUGUUUCUAAUAAAAGGAAAAUAAAAAAGGGAGAGAUUGGAAAUAUUCUGAAUGGGGGAACGCAGAAAUCAAAUGAAUGCUGAUUUUCAAACUCAGCUUCUUCUCAUUUUUCUUUAAAGGUUUUUUUGGGGGGAGGGGGUUUAUGAAGUUUUAAAUGUGUCCUUAAGGAAGGAUGUAUUACUCAGAAUAAAUGGCCUCUAGAUUAUUUUCCAAAGUCAGUUGUUAAAAAAUUUUUUUUGAAUGUCAGUCUGGUUACAUUUUUUAAGAAUAAAGCUUAUCUGAAAAGUGACUGUCAACUCAGGGUGGGUUACAGAUAAAACUGAAGUAGUGGGCAUGUUAGAAUCUUGAAGGAAGUUUCUUUUGAAAAAACCAAGUUGAUAUUUUUAUUGAGAGAAUGAAAAAAAAGUGUCAGUUUUCACAUGACAAAUUGUAGAGAGUUAAAAAAAAAAAUCUCUGAUGAGGUUAUGUAGAAGAGAAGGAUUCAUGAUUGAGAUACAUCUCAAAAUCCUGGAGGACAGGACAUGAGAUUGUCCAGGUUGCCAAAUAGAGGGAUGAGUUUUAGAAGGUUGAAAAGUAUUGUGUUGGAAAAAUAUCCAUUUUCUGAAAAGGCAGAAUGAAAAGAGCUGGAGUGGGAAUCAGGUACAUUUCUAUGGGUCUCUUGAAGAGUGGGUUCUGGGAGCGUCAGGUGGAGGGCCAAGGUCAGAGAAAGACAAGUACCCCCUCACAGAGUGGAUCCGUGAUUACCUAGGUGCUUUUGUCUUCUCGAUUUCGGUUUAUAAUUCUGCCAUUGAGUAAGCGCCUUUUCAGAACGGGGGGUGGGGGGAGCCAAUAAAGUUGAAUACAUACAAAU